This 824-nucleotide ribosomal RNA is filed under the name Endoconidiophora pinicola. RNAcentral describes it as "eukaryotic LSU rRNA". It matches the Rfam family "Eukaryotic large subunit ribosomal RNA", at positions 76 to 929 of the family's 3401-position model. The record is from RNAcentral. Lineage: Eukaryota; Fungi; Ascomycota; Sordariomycetes; Microascales; Ceratocystidaceae.
UGCCUUAGUAGCGGCGAGCGAAGCGGCAACAGCUCAAAUUUGAAAUCUGGCUACUUUGUAGUCCGAGUUGUAAUUUGCAGAGGAUGCUUUUGGUGAGGUGCCUUCCGAGUUCCCUGGAACGGGACGCCAGAGAGGGUGAGAGCCCCGUACGGUUGGACACCAAGCCUUUGUAUAGCUCCUUCAACGAGUCGAGUAGUUUGGGAAUGCUGCUCUAAAUGGGAGGUAUAUCUCUUCUAAAGCUAAAUACCGGCUAGAGACCGAUAGCGCACAAGUAGAGUGAUCGAAAGAUGAAAAGCACUUUGAAAAGAGAGUUAAACAGCACGUGAAAUUGUUGAAAGGGAAGCGCCUAUGACCAGACUUGUUUCUGUCAGUUUUGCUUGUUUUCGGACUUGUUUACUCUGUCAGUACAGGCCAACAUCAGUUUGUUGUUUGGGAGAAAGGCUUAGGGAAUGUGGCUCCCUCGGGAGUGUUAUAGCCCUUUGCAUAAUACCAUUCGGCAGACUGAGGACCGCGCUUCGGCAAGGAUGUUGGCGUAAUGGUCAUCAGCGACCCGUCUUGAAACACGGACCAAGGAGUCAACCUUAUGUGCGAGUGUUUGGGUGUAAAACCCCAGCGCGUAAUGAACGUGAACGUAGGUGAGAGCUUCGGCGCAUCAUCGACCGAUUCUGAUGUUCUCGGAUGGAUUUGAGUAAGAGCAUAUAGGGUUGGACCCGAAAGAAGGUGAACUAUGCUUGUAUAGGGUGAAGCCAGAGGAAACUCUGGUGGAGGCUCGCAGCGGUUCUGACGUGCAAAUCGAUCGUCAAAUAUGAGCAUGGGGGCGAAAG